UACGGCUACUGUUUUGCUACCAGCUGCAUUGGAAACUGUGAUUUGAUAUUCUCCAGUGUCUCUCCUUAAGCAGUUCUUAAUGGUGACGGUUGGAGGAGGCUUUCCAGACACAUAGGCAAUGAUUCGGAUCACUCCUCCAGCAUGGACGACAAUUCUAUCUCUGACACUGGCAUCUAGCUGAAGGUCAGGUAAAACUGGAAGCAAUUGAAAAUUACAAAUGUGAUUUUUCCCCCUUAAAUAUGAAACAUAAAUACUGAUGGCAUAAAAGGAGGAUUGAUAAUUACCAAGUCUAUCUUUCAUUUCAAUGACAUCUGUGACCUCUCCAGGUUCUCCAAUGCCAGCAAUGUUGACUGCUCUAACUCUAAAUUUGUAGAAUGCUCCUUCCUUUAAUCCUGUCACAACAAGCUUUGUUCCUCUCACUUCUUUAUCUUUACCCUGGGGAGAAAUCAUAAACAUUUUAAAAUUAGAAUAGUCAUCUGUAGCUUCUUGCUUUAAUGACUUCCUAAAGCAUCACCAGCAGCCUAACUGUUUACUCUGGGAAAAUUGUUGCUGGUUUAGGUUUCAGGGAUCAGAUACUACAGGCAACACUGAAUGGAAUAACUUGGCAGGAGUUAUGCUUUAACAUUAUUGUCAAACAAUUAAACCUUUAUUUAUUUAUUCCACAUUCCAGGAUUUAUAACCAAAAGAUUAGUAAUAUCAUGACUUAACUUUUGAUUAGAUUUCUGACAUUAACAGACAUUUGGAAUUUGAGUUAAAAUUAUGCUAUUUUCCUGAUUUCUUAAUCCAAAAAACAUAGACAGAAGUUAAUGUUUUAGUUUAUUCAUAGUGCAUUUCCUUAGUGCCAAGUUUUCCUACCUUUUCCCAUUCUUCUUUUCCUUCUUCUUUAUAUUCAACGAUAUAUCCAGUUACUUUGGAUCCACCAUCUUUUAGUGGGGGAGACCACUCCAGAUCUGCAGAUGAUUUAGUCCAAUCUGUCACUUUGGGAAAUGGAGGACCAGGAGGAGCUGGAAAGAGCCAGUAUACAUUAGUAUUCUUGACUUUCCCAAGGCACUUUUGGAAAAUAAGAUUUUAAAAAAGGAAUGGUUUCAAGGCUUACCAAUUGGAUCUCUAGCAGUCACUGGGUCUGAUGGCAGACUUGCUGGACCCACACCAGCAGCAUUGAUUGCAUAUACCCGGAAUUGAUAGUCAGAACCUUCAAUAAGACCAGUCACUUUAUAAGAAACACCCAGAGUCAUGGCUUUGAUAGGAUCUCGGUUAACUCUCUUCCAUCUCUUUGAAGUAGUGUCUUUCAUUUCCAGCCAGUACCCCGUCACAGGAGAGCCUCCAUCAUAUUCUGGCUCUUCCCAGUUGACGGUCAUGGAGUUACGAGUCACGCUGCUAACUGUUGGUUUAUCUGGUGCUCCAGGGACAGCUGUGAAAAAGAUCAUAUUGAUUAUAAGAAAUUUUUUUGAAAAAGUAAAAAUGACUUUGUUUGUGAAAAUGUUGUCCUACUUACAGAAGAGGUUUCUUGCUGUUUCAGGUUCACUGUCAAGAGGUUCUCCAAUGCCAUAUUUAUUCUGGGCCAUGAUUCGGAAUACGUAUUCAUGGCCUUCUAGCAAUUUGGGAAUCGUGUACGUGCACUCUUUAGGUUCACUGGAGACACGGACCCAUGUCUUCCUGUUAGCUUCUCUUUUCUCAAUUACAUAGUUUGUAAUCUUAGACCCACCAUCAUCUUUAGGUGGAAGCCAAGACAGUGUCAUUUGCUCUGCUGAAACAGAUUCAAAUUUUAUGGGUCCCACUGGGGGACCAGGACGACCUAAAAUGGUUUAAAGAAGGAACCCUUUAUCAGUCAGAUGAUUUUAAAGCCAAAUGUUAUUUAUGAACAGAAAAACAAGUAGUUUUAACCAAACCAUGCAAUCUUUACCCAGGACAUUCAGUCUCAUCUCCUUUGAUGCUGUUCCCAGAUUAUUUACAGCUGUGAUGGUAUAUAAGCCAGUGUCACUCCUGCGAGACUGUGGAAUAACUAAAGUGCAAGUAUCAUCCACCACCAGUUUGUUGACAUGAGUGUCAUAGAGAACAGGUUCUUUGUUAUCAGGCUUCUUUGGAGGAGCUUUAAACCAGGUUAGUGUUGGGAAUGGCACACCUUUAAUUUUGGCCACAAUGUUAACAUCAGUUCCUUCUUCAACCUCCAUGAAUUCUGUUAGAUCAAUUGAUGGUGGGCCUAGAUUAUUGAAAAAAAGUUAUCGUUACGAGCAAAAAGCAUUGAGGGAUAGAAAGUAGAAUUCACAGUGACUAUAAAGCUGUUUGAAUCCACCGUAGUCAGACUUUGUAGCUCAGCCCAAUGUAAAGAAUGGUUCUGUCUUUAACACUAUUACACUGGUUUGGGGAGCAGGUACACAGGGAGCUAUAUGUGACUGUAUAUCAGGGCUUGCCUCUCUUUAUUUGGCAUCAUUAUGCAUGUAAUGAUGCAUAUUAUUAUAUUCUCAUAUCCUGACAAAAGGGAAGAGAGGAGAUUGUAGUAGGAGAGUAUCAUGGGACACUCUCUAAUGUUUAUGCAGAAUUAUGAAGGGAUACAUAAGAAGGUGAAUUCCCCUUUUAAGAAAUAUAACUGUUAAUAAAAGGGAAGGAAUUUUCCAUUUUGCUCAAAUUUAGGACAGAAAUAUUCAAAGAGGGUAGCAACUACAGUUUCUUUACACUUAGAUGAGAGAAUAAACAGAUACACAACAGUAGUGAUGGUAAUUAUCAGAGGAAGAAUUAUUACCAUAUAUAUUAUAUAUACUUCAUUAAAAUGGAUAUAUCUUUUCUCAUAUAGAGAAAUAGAAACUUGAUUGUGAAGAUAAAUGGGUCUCAGCAGUUGCUAAGCAAAUGACUAGUUACUUUCUGUCCCUUUUGAGGAGCAUGCAGAGAAAUUGCUUUAACCUCUGAUAAGUAAAACAGCCUGCCAUGGAGAAAAUUACAGCGAGGAAAUUACAGACAUCAUCUCCUUUGAAUAGAGAAAAAUUAACAGGAACUACUUACAGAUUGGAUCAUGUGCUGUUUUGGGAUCUGAAGGUGGACUGAACUUUCCAGGUCCAGCUGCAUUUUCAGCACAUACUCUGAAGACAUAG
Molecule: non-coding RNA, 3086 nt
Organism: Chlorocebus sabaeus (green monkey)
Lineage: Eukaryota; Metazoa; Chordata; Mammalia; Primates; Cercopithecidae
Source: RefSeq, a predicted model, not a curated record